GAAUUGGUGGUGUAAUGGCUACCGCUUCUGCUUGAUAAGCAGAAGGCCAUGAGUUCAAUCUCAGACCAGUCCC
This 73-nucleotide transfer RNA is filed under the name Aedes aegypti (yellow fever mosquito). It matches the Rfam family "tRNA". From Rfam's summary of the family: Transfer RNA (tRNA) molecules are approximately 80 nucleotides in length. The record is from Rfam by way of RNAcentral. Lineage: Eukaryota; Metazoa; Arthropoda; Insecta; Diptera; Culicidae.